UCCCUGGUGGCUCAGUUGGUAAAGAAUCUGCCUGUAACGCAGGAGGCCCGAGUUCGAUCCCUGGGCCGGGAA
Molecule: transfer RNA, 72 nt
Filed under: Bos taurus (domestic cattle)
Lineage: Eukaryota; Metazoa; Chordata; Mammalia; Artiodactyla; Bovidae
Also listed under: 3 other names
Rfam family: tRNA
About the family: Transfer RNA (tRNA) molecules are approximately 80 nucleotides in length. Their secondary structure includes four short double-helical elements and three loops (D, anti-codon, and T loops).
Source: Rfam by way of RNAcentral